UCGCGCCACCCCGCCGUUGGGAGGGGGCUUCCUCCCCUUCGCCUUCCCCUCCGGCAGCACCCCCCGCUCCGAUUUCCCCCAGUGCCCUAACCCUAGAAGGCCUAAAGCACUCCGUCCAGCGGCGCCUCCCCGGUCCGAUUUCCCUAGGCCGGCCGACCAGGAAGGACGCCGCUCCCUGCUGGACGGUCGCUGCCCCCACCCUGCUAGACGCCAUCGCCCCCUCCAGGAACAGACAAGGUACGAUGCCGGAGACAUCACUGCCAUGAGCUCUGCACAGGAUCCCACUGUCCGGCUGCUGGAUGUCCAAGGCCGUCUUGGGAGCAGUGUAUCUCAUAGAUUGUUGUACCAAGGAUAUUGCAUGCUCAAACAUGAGG
This is a long non-coding RNA of Panicum virgatum (switchgrass), 374 nucleotides long. RefSeq lists it as uncharacterized. The record is from RefSeq and is a predicted model, not a curated record. NCBI's taxonomy places the organism in Eukaryota, Viridiplantae, Streptophyta, Magnoliopsida, Poales, Poaceae. The transcript has 3 exons.